AUUGAACGCUGGCGGCAGGCUUAACACAUGCAAGUCGAGCGGGGUGAUGGUGCUUGCACUAUCACUUAGCGGCGGACGGGUGAGUAAUGCUUAGGAAUCUGCCUAUUAGUGGGGGACAACAUCUCGAAAGGGAUGCUAAUACCGCAUACGUCCUACGGGAGAAAGCAGGGGAUCACUUGUGACCUUGCGCUAAUAGAUGAGCCUAAGUCGGAUUAGCUAGUUGGUGGGGUAAAGGCCUACCAAGGCGACGAUCUGUAGCGGGUCUGAGAGGAUGACCCGCCCCACUGGGACUGAGACACGGCCCAGACUCCUACGGGAGGGAGCAGUGGGGAAUACUGGACAAUGGGGGAAACCCUGAUCCAGCCAUGCCGCGUGUGUGAAGAAGGCCUUAUGGUUGUAAAGCACUUUAAGCGAGGAGGAGGCUCUUUUGGUUAAUACCCAAGAUGAGUGGACGUUACUCGCAGAAUAAGCACCGGCUAACUCUGUGCCAGCAGCCGCCGUAA
RNAcentral lists this ribosomal RNA (503 nucleotides) under uncultured bacterium. RNAcentral describes it as "partial 16S ribosomal RNA". It matches the Rfam family "Bacterial small subunit ribosomal RNA", at positions 30 to 523 of the family's 1533-position model. The record is from RNAcentral.